GACGAACGCUGGCGGCGUGCCUAACACAUGCAAGUCGAACGGAAAGGCCCUGCUUUUGUGGGGUGCUCGAGUGGCGAACGGGUGAGUAACACGUGAGUAACCUGCCCUUGACUUUGGGAUAACUUCAGGAAACUGGGGCUAAUACCGGAUAGGAGCUCCUGCUGCAUGGUGGGGGUUGGAAAGUUUCGGCGGUUGGGGAUGGACUCGCGGCUUAUCAGCUUGUUGGUGGGGUAGUGGCUUACCAAGGCUUUGACGGGUAGCCGGCCUGAGAGGGUGACCGGCCACAUUGGGCCUGAGAUACGGCCCAGACUCCUACGGGAGGCAGCAGUGGGGAAUAUUACACAAUGGGCGGAAGCCUGAUGCAGCAACGCCGCGUGCGGGAUGACGGCCUUCGGGUUGUAAACCGCUUUCGCCUGUGACGAAGCGUGAGUGACGGUAAUGGGUAAAGAAGCACCGGCUAACUACGUG
This 468-nucleotide ribosomal RNA is filed under the name uncultured bacterium. Its description in RNAcentral is "partial 16S ribosomal RNA". It matches the Rfam family "Bacterial small subunit ribosomal RNA", at positions 28 to 507 of the family's 1533-position model. The record is from RNAcentral.